AGCGAACGCUGGCGGCAGGCCUAAUACAUGCAAGUCGAGCGCACCUUCGGGUGAGCGGCGGACGGGUGAGUAACGCGUGGGAACGUGCCCUUUGGUACGGAACAACUGAGGGAAACUUCAGCUAAUACCGUAUGUGCCCUUCGGGGGAAAGAUUUAUCGCCAUUGGAGCGGCCCGCGUUGGAUUAGGUAGUUGGUGGGGUAAAGGCCCACCAAGCCUACGAUCCAUAGCUGGUCUGAGAGGAUGAUCAGCCACACUGGGACUGAGACACGGCCCAGACUCC
This 281-nucleotide ribosomal RNA is filed under the name unidentified marine bacterioplankton. RNAcentral describes it as "partial 16S ribosomal RNA". It matches the Rfam family "Bacterial small subunit ribosomal RNA", at positions 29 to 339 of the family's 1533-position model. The record is from RNAcentral.